AAGGGGGACCCACGCAAAGGGGUGUCGUGAACCUGGUCAGGCCGAAAGGAGCAGCCAUAAGCGAUUACCUCUUGUGCGGCGGAUCAUCCUCCGGCGC
Molecule: signal recognition particle RNA, 97 nt
Filed under: Gemmataceae bacterium
Lineage: Bacteria; Pseudomonadati; Planctomycetota; Planctomycetia; Gemmatales; Gemmataceae
Description: signal recognition particle sRNA small type
Rfam family: Bacterial small signal recognition particle RNA
About the family: The signal recognition particle (SRP) is a universally conserved ribonucleoprotein involved in the co-translational targeting of proteins to membranes.
Source: RNAcentral